UCCGGUUUGUCACCGGCAGUCUGGCGUGAGUCCCCAACUUAAUGCUGGCAACACGCCACGGGGGUUGCGCUCGUUGCGGGACUUAACCCAACAUCUCACGACACGAGCUGACGACAGCCAUGCAGCAUCUGUGGUGCACCCUCGAAGGUCACACGUUUCCGUGCGCUUGCAGCACCAUGUCAAGUCCAGGUAAGGUGGGGAUGACGUCAAGGUACGGAC
This 219-nucleotide unclassified non-coding RNA is filed under the name uncultured Rubrobacterales bacterium. RNAcentral describes it as "contains 16S-23S intergenic spacer region". Lineage: Bacteria; Bacillati; Actinomycetota; Rubrobacteria; Rubrobacterales. The record is from RNAcentral.